UACAGAGGGGGCAAGCGUUGUUCGGAAUUACUGGGCGUAAAGGGCGCGUAGGCGGCCUCCUAAGUCAGACGUGAAAUCCCUCGGCUCAACCGGGGAACUGCGUCUGAUACUGGGAGGCUUGAAUCCGGGAGAGGGAUGUGGAAUUCCAGGUGUAGCGGUGAAAUGCGUAGAUAUCUGGAGGAACACCGGUGGCGAAGGCGGCAUCCUGGACCGGUAUUGACGCUGAGGAGCGAAAGCGUGGGGAGCGAACAGG
This 253-nucleotide ribosomal RNA is filed under the name uncultured bacterium. RNAcentral describes it as "partial 16S ribosomal RNA". It matches the Rfam family "Bacterial small subunit ribosomal RNA", at positions 524 to 776 of the family's 1533-position model. The record is from RNAcentral.